RNAcentral lists this small nucleolar RNA (171 nucleotides) under Castor canadensis (American beaver). Its description in RNAcentral is "Small nucleolar RNA SNORA73 family (ENSCCNG00000029326.1)". It matches the Rfam family "Small nucleolar RNA SNORA73 family", at positions 30 to 219 of the family's 219-position model. From Rfam's summary of the family: U17 (SNORA73A and SNORA73B) also known as E1 belongs to the H/ACA class of small nucleolar RNAs (snoRNAs). The record is from RNAcentral. Lineage: Eukaryota; Metazoa; Chordata; Mammalia; Rodentia; Castoridae.
CCAGGCUCUGCCCAAAUGGUGAUUGGGAGCACCGGGCUUGACCCGUGACACUCAGUCCCUUUUCAUAACAUUGGGGAAGAAGCCGGGCCUUGAGUCUGUGCCUGCAUCUUCUAUGACUUCUCAGAGUGCUGUGGACAGUGACUGAGGGGUCAAACCAGGCAGGAAACAGUG